Molecule: long non-coding RNA, 1929 nt
Organism: Microcebus murinus (gray mouse lemur)
Lineage: Eukaryota; Metazoa; Chordata; Mammalia; Primates; Cheirogaleidae
Source: Ensembl
AGGGGCUGAGAAGCAGGGUUGGGUUCAAUUGCUUAUACUAAACUCUCACUCUCUCCUCUUUGAGUCAGAAGAGGUGAAUCCACCCACAAGCCAUGAAUAAACAAGGGCCAAGGGCCAGUCUUAAAUGCUGUCCAGUGUCUGGGCAGUAAUAAUUGGUCAGUACAGGGAAAAUGUAAUCAAACCCUCCCUCCAGAGAGGUUUUUCUUUAUUUUGACAAAGUGGGAAAAAGCUAAUGGGACAAGACAUGCCUUCAUAUUUUAUUAUAGAAUGAGAUGGGCUUACUGUUUGGAGGCUUUAACUGAGGUUUCUUUCUUUCUUUUUUUUUUUUUACUCCUUAUUAGAAUUCUUCUUGUUUGGAUUUAAAUGUCUAUUCUCAAGAUAACAGCAGCACCGUCACCAAAAACCUUGAAAUUAGCAUUAGAAGAUGCUGCCAUCUGACAUUCUUAGGCUGCCUGCUUUCCAUUCUGUUUGUAAGCAGUGGAAGAAGAGCCAGGAGUUCGAUAAGCCUGGGUUCUAUGAGUUGGAGGUAGGUAUGGGACAGUACUGCCCAAGAACUACCAGGGAUGCACUAAGGACGACCAUGAAGCAAGCAUCCAAGAAGGAAGAUGUAGUCAAUCAGACACACCGUUCAACCACAGGAUUAACCAAGGGGAGUUGGGUGAGACUGAAAACAGGUGGGAGGCAGCAGGGUAGAAAUUAGAGACAUAAGACAUUGGGAAAGAAUAAACAGGUUCAGCAUGGAGGGAAAGAGGCUAAUGUCAGAGAGAUUUCCUGAAACACUGGUGUCCAAUGUUAAGGACUUAAAAAAAAAGAAAUUAUAGCCUCCUUUGUGGGGGAAGAGAUUCGAUAAUCUCUUCUAAUGUUUGCCAAAUACAAUUCUUUGCAAUAAUCACAUAGGAAUCUUGUUAAACACUCACAUUCCCAGGCCCCGAGCUCUGAGAUUCUGAUGCAGAAGGUCUGAAUUAGGACCCUGAAAUUCCAUCUCCAGGGAAGAAGCAUCAUAGGUGGUUCUGAAGCAGGAGUUGUGUGGACCUCACGUUGAGACUGUGGAUAGGUAUGAAGAGGUAAAUUGUUUACUAUCUGUUGCCCUCAAGUUCCAUUUAGUUAAAUGUUAGAAAAGAAUGGUGUCCAGAAAUUGCAUGUUAGAGGCUAGUCAGGAUUAUAUAUAAAAAAAGAAAAAAUAUGCAGUAGGGUGGCAGUGAGGAGGAUAUCGCUAUCCUAUUUGUCUGAGUUUGUCUUAUUUGUUGGCCGAGUACACAUCAGAGAAAUCCCUGGGGCAGGGAUAUGUCACUUGGUUGUGCCUUUCCUUCACCUGAGAAUGUCCUAUUUUCUGCACUCAAUAAAUUUGAAGAUCUAGGAAAAAAUAUAGAUUGGGAAUUCCAUUUAUUCAUGUUUUCCUCCUUUAAUUAUAUUAUAAAUAAUUAAACAUUCAUUAGGUGCCUAAUAUGUGCCAGGCAUCAUUCUAGGAUUCUGAAGAUACACAAAUUAACAAGAUGGAUAACAUUUUUGACCUCAUGGGACUUAAAAUUUAGAAAGUAAUUGAACGAAAUGAGCUUAGAUGAUGGUUUAUUUUAUGUACCAACUUGACUGGGCUAAGGAAUGCCCAGAUAGCAGGCAGCACAUUAUUUCCGGGUGUGUCUGUGAGACUGUUUCAGGAAGAGAUUAGCAUUUGGAUCAGCAGACUGAGUAAGGAAGAUCGUGGGUGGGUAUCAUUCAAUCUGUUGAGGGCCUGAAGAGAACAAAAAGGCAGAGAAAGGGUGAAUGCUUGAGCUAGCUGCAUCUAUAUUUCCCUUCCUUUGGGCAUUAGAACAUCUGGUUCUUGGGCCUUCAGACUUGGCCCAGGACUUAUACUAUUGCCUCCUCUGGACUUCAGGCUUGGACUGUAACUACACCACCAGCUUUCCUGUGACUCAAGCUUAUAGUUCAUGG